AGUGAACGCUGGCGGUAGGCCUAACACAUGCAAGUCGAACGGCAGCACCGUCAUUGCUUGCUCGUACGGGUGGCGAGUGGUGGACGAGUGAGGAAUAAAUCGGAAUUUAUUUUUUCGUGGGGGAGAAAGAAGGGUAACUUACGCUAUUACCGCAUCCGUACUACGGGUGAAAGCAGGGGAUGUUCGGACCUUGCGCGCUUGUAUGAGCCGAUGUGGGAUUAGCUAGUUGGCGGGGUAAAGGCGAACCAAGGCGACGAUCCGAAGCUGGGCUGCGAGGAUGGGCGGCACGACGGGAAUGGAGACACGUUCCAGACACUAAGGGGAGGCAGCAGGGGGGAUAUUGGACAAUGGGCGCAAGCCUGAUCCAGCCGUACCGCGUGGGUGAAGAAGGCGUUCGGGUUGUAAAGCCCUUUUGUUGGGGAAGAAAAGCAGCAGGUUAAUACCCCGCUGUUCUGACGGCACCCAAAGAAUAAGCACCGGCUAACUUCGUG
Molecule: ribosomal RNA, 491 nt
Filed under: uncultured bacterium
Lineage: Bacteria
Description: partial 16S ribosomal RNA
Rfam family: Bacterial small subunit ribosomal RNA
Source: RNAcentral